RNAcentral lists this ribosomal RNA (437 nucleotides) under uncultured bacterium. RNAcentral describes it as "bacterial SSU rRNA". It matches the Rfam family "Bacterial small subunit ribosomal RNA", at positions 376 to 803 of the family's 1533-position model. The record is from RNAcentral.
CGAAAGGGUGACGAAGCGACGCCGCGUGUGGGAAGAAGGCCUUCGGGUUGUAAACCACUGUCGGGAGUUAGGAAAUGUAAGGGUGUUAAUAGCAUCCUUACUUGACUAAGGCUCCGGAGGAAGCCACGGCUAACUCUGUGCCAGCAGCCGCGGUAAUACAGAGGCGGCAAGCGUUGUUCGGAAUUAUUGGGCGUAAAGAGCACGUAGGCGGCUCUGUAAGUCAGCUGUGACAGCCUUCUGCUUAACGGAAGAACAGCAGUUGAAACUACAGGGCUUGAGUGCGGGAGGGGAGAGUGGAACUUCUGGUGGAGCGGUGAAAUGCGUAGAUAUCAGAAGGAACGCCGGCGGCGAAAGCGGCUCUCUGGCCCGUAACUGACGCUGAGUGUGCGAAAGCUAGGGGAGCAAACGGGAUUAGAUACCCCGGUAGUCCUAGCCGU